GACGAACGCUGGGGGCGUGCUUAACACAUGCAAGUCGAACGGAAAGGCCUGCUUUCCCUUGUGGAUUGCGGGUACUCGAGUGGCGAACGGGUGAGUAACACGUGAGUGAUCUGCCCCCAACUUGGGUAUAAGCCUGGGAAACUGGGUCUAAUUCCCGAUAGGACUGCAGGGUGGUGCCUGUGGUGGAAAACGAUUUUCUAGUGGUUGGGGAUGAGCUCGCGGCCUAUCAGCUUGUUGGUGGGGUAAUGGCCUACCAAGGCGGCGACGGGUAGCCGGCCUGGGAGGGUGGACGGCCACAUUGGGACUGGGAUACGGCCCAGACUCCUACGGGAGGCAGCAGUGGGGAAUAUUGCACAAUGGGCGGAAGCCUGAUGCAGCGACGCCGCGUGGGGGAUGACGGCCUUCGGGUUGUAAACUCCUUUCGACCGCGAGGAAGCCACCUGGUUGGAAGGGUGGUGACGGUAGUGGUAGAAGAAGCACCGGCUAACUACGUG
RNAcentral lists this ribosomal RNA (494 nucleotides) under uncultured bacterium. Its description in RNAcentral is "partial 16S ribosomal RNA". It matches the Rfam family "Bacterial small subunit ribosomal RNA", at positions 28 to 507 of the family's 1533-position model. The record is from RNAcentral.